Monodelphis domestica (gray short-tailed opossum) is the source of this 450-nucleotide long non-coding RNA. NCBI's taxonomy places the organism in Eukaryota, Metazoa, Chordata, Mammalia, Didelphimorphia, Didelphidae. The record is from Ensembl.
CAGAGUGUCAGGUUCAUAAAUAACUCCACCUUCAUGCUGGCCCUCUGUUCCAAUCCUAUCAAGGAAGGCAAGAUGAAAUUUCGUGCCUCAGCAGGAGAGAUUGGAAGCCUAACCUCUGGGUCGUGGUUAUGGAGGGCUCAUUCUGGCAUUAGAGAGCUUGAGUCUGAAUCCCAUGUUUUGCCACUCACCAUCUGUGUUACCUUGGGGGAAAGUCAAACAUCAUUCUGCAUCCAACCCAGUGGAGUAUGCAGGAAAACCACAUUCCUGUCUCUAGACCCAUCAGUGUUCAACAGGCCAUACUUUUCCUCCUGAAUCCUUAUUGUCCACUGAGAUUCUUGCUUUGGAACCUGUGCCUGCAAGAUUGGAGGCUCUCGGUCUAUCUACACAGGGAAGCUAGCUGAACUGAAUUGAUUCAAAAUAAAAAUGAUUGCAUUCAAUAAAAUUUGGCCA